CCAUCGCUCAUAAAAAUCUACAACAAAAUACAUGGGUGGUGUAGAUCGCUUCGAUGAGAAUUUCGAUUCUAUGAGGAUAGGUUUACUAGGAAAUAAAUGGUGGUUUCCACUGUUCGCUUUUGGACCGGAUGCAUCAUGUCAAAAUGCUUGGCUGAUCCAUAGAAUGCGUAACAAUAACUGGACCUACUGCGAGUUUCGUGGAGCUGUCGUGACAUCCUAUCUACAAAAAUACGGUAAACCCCGUUAUGGACUAUGCUAUCAACGUACCAGAAAAAUGUGUUCGAAGUCUAAUGUCGGCUUCAUGCUAAUAUCUAUAUCUAAAAUGCUGGUAUAAGUUCCGUAAUAAGUAAAAAAUAAAGCACACACUUUACAAUUAAACAUAUUCACUACAUACAAACAAACGUUCACAAUUUACACGCACUACAUUUAUCAUUUUCGUGUUUCUUUUACCCAUAAUAAAACCGUAGAAAAGAAAAUAAGUCGUAUUCAUUUAACUAUCGAUAUUAUGUUAAAGGUAUAAAUUACGCCCAGUGGUCACAUCCAGGUGACACACCACUUAAAAAAAUAAGGGAUGUUUUUUUUUAUUAUUGUUAUUAAUUAUGUUUUAAAUAUCUAAACACGUCAAUUAACACACAAAAAAAAAACAAUACUUAUCCAUUUUUCCUGAAGCUUGGGAAUUGACGGGUUAAGUUGAAAAAUGGCAAAUUAAAUUAAUAAAAAAGGUGAUUAGCUUUUCUGAAAUAAGUCAAAAUGACUAAAAAUCAAGUCCAGUAAUAUGUCCAAAAGUCAAUCACAGUCUUUUUCAUUACAGGCAAGUCAGUCACAAAACAUAAAUUUAAAUAAACUUGUUCAAUGUAAUAAUUCUGUUUUUACCGCUCUUGGUUAUCUUCUGAACUCAUUGACAUGAUUGUUACCAUAACAAAUCAAACAGCUGUAAGCAAAAUGGGAAAGAAUUUGCUACUGACUAUUGACGAAUUAAAACUUUUUAUUGAUUUGUCUGUGAUUAUGGCAUGUCUUGGAUACCAAUUGGUAAAGAUGUACUGAGAUUCUCAGUCUGAAAACUGAGGUGGCGCUUUGCAAUUGUGGCAGAUAAUAUGUGAAGGAACAGAUAUUUAAUAAUACGAAACUCUUUGAAAUUUGUUUUUGAUGACGAUGUUACAAAAGAAAAUAAAAAAUUUGGAUAAAUUGUGGAAAGUUCGUCCACUUCUUGACAAAAUAACAAAGUUUGCAACAAAGAAGUCAAGAAACAACACAUCUCAAUAGACGAUUUUCUCAUGCACCAUAACAUGUUAGUCAACUUGAAAUUAUAUUUUCUAUGGUAGGACGCUCGUUCUUGCCAACGGAUCGCAUUUUUGCAAAGAUUGAGAAGGAGACCAAGAACAAAAUCCAUUACACACAUGUAUGUUAAUUUAUUCAAGGAACAUGCGACAGUUUAUCAUUUAGGCGAUGACGACGUCGAAAUGCAUGAUUCGAAGACAGAAGUUACUACAACACUAAAACCUCCAGGAAGAUGACAUUUCAGGUUCAACCCUUCAAAACGUUUUAUGCUGCGCAAGGGUCGAUAGAACGUUAUUGUGCAAAGCGAAGAAAACUAUCGGAGUGAAAUUGGGCAACCUAAAUAUGUAACCAAACGAGGAAAGAAAAUCUCUAAAUUGGAACUAAAUAAGACCGUAUGAAAAUACAUGAUGUUGCUAACCUUUUAAAGAAGCACUUCGUUGAAGACUGGAAGAAUAUCGACUCUUUGAAAUAUUUUAAAGACAUAAAAGAAUAUAAUAAUAAUUUUGCAGAACAUGAAUGCAUUCAGUGUGUUGCACUAAAAGAAAGUGAAAAUUUUAUAUCAUAAAUUACAUUAAUACAAUUUCUUGUUCUUCGGGAUGAAUGAAUGUCUUUCAAUAGUGCCAAAUGAGCACAGAAAGUUCUGCCAAUGUCAGGUAGAAUGAAGAAUACACGAAGGAGAUUGAUCGGUGCGGUCGAGGUUAAAGCCUUCGUUAGUUUAUUUAAAAAGUAUAAAGGAAAUAGUAGUAGUAAAUGUGUAUAAUAUAAUAUGUCACUUGUAACUGUGAAAGAAACGAAAAGUCAUUUAGUGUGAAAUUGAUCUUUCUGGAUCUCGCGGAUUUUGAUACUAGACG
This 2129-nucleotide unclassified non-coding RNA is filed under the name Melitaea cinxia (Glanville fritillary). RNAcentral describes it as "misc RNA ENSMCXG00005012985.1". Lineage: Eukaryota; Metazoa; Arthropoda; Insecta; Lepidoptera; Nymphalidae. The record is from RNAcentral.